CGUGAGAUGUUGGGUUAAGUCCCGCAACGAGCGCAACCCCUGUCCCCAGUAGCCAGCGGGCAGUGCCGGGCACUCCGGGGAGACUGCCGGGGACAACCCGGAGGAAGGCGGGGAUGACGUCAAAUCAUCAUGCCCCUUAUGGCCUGGGCUACACACGUGCUACAAUGGCGCAGACAGAGGGAGGCAAAGCCGCGAGGCGGAGCAGACCCCAGAAAUGGCGCCCCAGUUCGGACUGCAGCCUGCAACCCGGCUGCACGAAGCCGGAAUCGCUAGUAAUCGCGGAUCAGAAUGCCGCGGUGAAUACGUUCCCGGGUCUUGUACACACCGCCCGUCACACCAUGGGAGCCGGAAAUGCCCGAAGUCAGCGGCCCAACCGCAAGGGGGGAGCUGCCGAAGGCAGGUCCGGUGACUGGGGUGAAGUCGUAACAAGGUAACCGU
Molecule: ribosomal RNA, 438 nt
Filed under: uncultured bacterium
Lineage: Bacteria
Description: bacterial SSU rRNA
Rfam family: Bacterial small subunit ribosomal RNA
Source: RNAcentral